This 54-nucleotide transfer RNA is filed under the name Bursaphelenchus mucronatus. Its description in RNAcentral is "tRNA-Ser". Lineage: Eukaryota; Metazoa; Nematoda; Chromadorea; Rhabditida; Aphelenchoididae. The record is from RNAcentral.
AAACUAAUUUUUUAUGUUUUGAAAACAUAAUAAGAAUAAUUUAUUCUUAGUUUU